Molecule: ribosomal RNA, 406 nt
Filed under: uncultured bacterium
Lineage: Bacteria
Description: partial 16S ribosomal RNA
Rfam family: Bacterial small subunit ribosomal RNA
Source: RNAcentral
AUUGAACGCUGGCGGCAGGCCUAACACAUGCAAGUCGAGCGAGCGGCGGAAGGGUGAGUAAUGUCUUGGAAACUGCCUGAUGGAGGGGGAUAACUACUGGAAACGGUAGCUAAUACCGCAUACCAUCAGAUGUGCCCAGAUGGGAUUAGCUAGUAGGUGGGGGAAUGGCUCACCUAGGCGACGCUCCCUAGCUGGUCUGAGAGUAGGACCAGCCACACUGGAACUGAGACACGGUCCAGACUCCUACGGGAGGCAGCAGUGGGGAAUAUUGCACAAUGGGCGCAAGCCUGAUGCAGCCAUGCCGCGUGUGGGAAGAAGGCCUUCGGGUUGUAAAGCACUUUCAGCGGGGAGGCGUUACCCGCAGAAGAAGCACCGGCUAACUCCGUGCCAGCCGCCGCGGUAAUUC